Molecule: ribosomal RNA, 412 nt
Filed under: uncultured Lactobacillus sp.
Lineage: Bacteria; Bacillati; Bacillota; Bacilli; Lactobacillales; Lactobacillaceae
Description: bacterial SSU rRNA
Rfam family: Bacterial small subunit ribosomal RNA
Source: RNAcentral
CGAGUCUGCCUUGAAGAUCGGAGUGCUUGCACUCUGUGAAACAAGAUACAGGCUAGCGGCGGACGGGUGAGUAACACGUGGGUAACCUGCCCAAGAGAUCGGGAUAACACCUGGAAACAGAUGCUAAUACCGGAUAACAACAGGUGAUGCUUAUCAACUGUUUAAAAGAUGGUUCUGCUAUCACUCUUGGAUGGACCUGCGGUGCAUUAGCUAGUUGGUAGGGUAACGGCCUACCAAGGCGAUGAUGCAUAGCCGAGUUGAGAGACUGAUCGGCCACAUUGGGACUGAGACACGGCCCAAACUCCUACGGGAGGCAGCAGUAGGGAAUCUUCCACAAUGGACGCAAGUCUGAUGGAGCAACGCCGCGUGAGUGAAGAAAGGUUUCGGCUCGUAAAGCUCUGUUGUUGGUGAA